UCGAGCGGUACAGAGAGUAGCUUGCUACUCUGCUGACGAGCGGCGGAGGGGAGGUAAUGCUUGGGAAUGUACCCUUAUGGUGGGGGACAACAGUUGGAAACGACUGCUAAUACCGCAUAAUGUCUUCGGACCAAAGCGGGGGACCUUCGGGCCUCGCGCCAUAAGAUCAGCCCAAGUGGGAUUAGCUAGUUGGUGAGGUAAUGGCUCACCAAGGCGACGAUCCCUAGCUGGUUUGAGAGGAUGAUCAGCCACACUGGGACUGAGACACGGCCCAGACUCCUACGGGAGGCAGCAGUGGGGAAUAUUGCACAAUGGGCGCAAGCCUGAUGCAGCCAUGCCGCGUGUGUGAAGAAGGCCUUCGGGUUGUAAAGCACUUUCAGUAAGGAGGAAAGGUUGGAUGUUAAUAGCAUUCAGCUGUGACGUUACUUACAGAAGAAGCACCGGCUAACUCCGUGCCAGCAGCCGCGGUAAUACGGAGGGUGCGAGCGUUAAUCGGAAUUACUGGGCGUAAAGCGUACGCAGGCGGUUUGUUAAGCGAGAUGUGAAAGCCCCGGGGCUCAACCUGGGAACUGCAUUUUCGAACUGGCAAACUAGAGUGUGAUAGAGGGUGGUAGAAUUUUCAGGUGUAGCGGUGAAAUGCGUAGAGAUCUGAAGGAAUACCCGAUGGCCGAAGGCAGCCACCUGGGGUCAACACUGACGCUCAUGUACGAAAGCGUGGGGAGCAAACAGGGAUUAGAUACCCUGGUAGUCCACGCCGUAAACGAUGUCUACUAGAAAGUCCGGUUCCUCCGGGACUGGUUUUUCAAAGCUAACGC
RNAcentral lists this ribosomal RNA (815 nucleotides) under bacterium. Its description in RNAcentral is "bacterial SSU rRNA". It matches the Rfam family "Bacterial small subunit ribosomal RNA", at positions 62 to 858 of the family's 1533-position model. The record is from RNAcentral.